RNAcentral lists this ribosomal RNA (275 nucleotides) under Prasinoderma coloniale. RNAcentral describes it as "partial Bacterial small subunit ribosomal RNA". It matches the Rfam family "Bacterial small subunit ribosomal RNA", at positions 1157 to 1430 of the family's 1533-position model. The record is from RNAcentral. Lineage: Eukaryota; Viridiplantae; Prasinodermophyta; Prasinodermophyceae; Prasinodermales; Prasinodermaceae.
CAGAGGUCGGAUGAAAGUGGGGAUGACGUCAAGUCGUUAUGGCCUGUAUAAGUUGGGCUACACAUUUGCUACAAUGAAAAUGUCAAUAUUAUGGUCGCCCUGUAUUGGGUGUCUCGAAUGAACCGUUUUUCUCAGUACGAAUCGCUUUCUGCAAUUUGAAACGCGUGAAGACGGAAUCGCCAGUAAUCGCAAAUCAGCCAAGCUGCGGUGAACAGGUUCUGGAGUUCUGUACAAACCGCCCGUCACGGUCCGGAAGAGGGCUUGCCUUAAGUGCU